RNAcentral lists this ribosomal RNA (492 nucleotides) under uncultured bacterium. Its description in RNAcentral is "partial 16S ribosomal RNA". It matches the Rfam family "Bacterial small subunit ribosomal RNA", at positions 29 to 507 of the family's 1533-position model. The record is from RNAcentral.
AGUGAACGCUGGCGGUAGGCCUAACACAUGCAAGUCGAACGGCAGCACAGUAAGAGCUUGCUCUUACGGGUGGCGAGUGGCGGACGGGUGAGGAAUACAUCGGAAUCUACUUUUUCGUGGGGGAUAACGUAGGGAAACUUACGCUAAUACCGCAUACGACCUACGGGUGAAAGCAGGGGAUCUUCGGACCUUGCGCGAUUGAAUGAGCCGAUGUCGGAUUAGCUAGUUGGCGGGGUAAAGGCCCACCAAGGCGACGAUCCGUAGCUGGUCUGAGAGGAUGAUCAGCCACACUGGAACUGCGACACGGUCCAGACUCCUACGAGAGGCAGCAGUGGGGAAUAUUGGACAAUGGGCGCAAGCCUGAUCCAGCCAUACCGCGUGGGUGAAGAAGGCCUUCGGGUUGUAAAGCCCUUUUGUUGGGAAAGAAAAGCAGCAGGUUAAUACCCCGCUGUUCUGACGGUACCCAAAGAAUAAGCACCGGCUAACUUCGUG